This 259-nucleotide ribosomal RNA is filed under the name uncultured bacterium. Its description in RNAcentral is "partial 16S ribosomal RNA". It matches the Rfam family "Bacterial small subunit ribosomal RNA", at positions 793 to 1055 of the family's 1533-position model. The record is from RNAcentral.
GUCCACGCCCUAAACGAUGUCUACUUGCUGUUGGGGGUAAAACCUUAGUAGCGAAGCUAACGUGAGAAGUAGACCGCCUGGGGAGUACGGUCGCAAGAUUAAAACUCAAAGGAAUUGACGGGACCCGCACAAGCGGUGGAUGAUGUGGAUUAAUUCGAUGCAACGCGAAGAACCUUACCUGCUCUUGACAUGCUAGGAAGGCCUAAGAGAUUAGGCUGUGCCGCAAGGAACCUAGACACAGGUGCUGCAUGGCUGUCGU